AGAAAAUGGGCCCCGGCUCCCGCAGGAGGCCCGCCUGGCGCGCAGAGGUCGUUAUUAGAAUCCGGGACGUCGGUGGACCCUCUGGGUCUGGCUCCCUCGGUGCUUACGAUGUAAAAAACUGGGGGGCGUGUGUGGGUGUCAUGAGACUUCCAUUUCUGAAGGGGUCCUGUUCCAUAUCCUCUAAGAAGGGAGUGCUGCACAGAGAGGCCAUGAGGAAUCUAAGCAGACAGGCCUUGCUGGGUUUCCCCACUCAGUCUGUUAAUAUUAGAUCAUACCUUUUUGUCCAGUCACAUUUUUACAUGGUUGUCAAUUAUGCCUGUCCAGUAAAGUCUCCAUAAAAGGCCAAAGAAGACAGAGUUGGAGUUCUUGGAUAGCUGAACAUGUGGAGGUUCCUGGAGGGUGGGGCACCUGGGCAUAAAAGCUCUGAGCCCCUUCCCUCAUACCUUGCUCUGUGCAUCCCUCCAUCUGUAGCCCUUGUAACAUUCCUUAUAAUAAACUGGUAAAUGUGUUUCCCAGA
RNAcentral lists this non-coding RNA (517 nucleotides) under Pan troglodytes (chimpanzee). Lineage: Eukaryota; Metazoa; Chordata; Mammalia; Primates; Hominidae. The record is from RNAcentral.